This 593-nucleotide ribosomal RNA is filed under the name uncultured bacterium. Its description in RNAcentral is "bacterial SSU rRNA". It matches the Rfam family "Bacterial small subunit ribosomal RNA", at positions 331 to 916 of the family's 1533-position model. The record is from RNAcentral.
CCAGACUCCUACGGGAGGCAGCAGUAGGGAAUCUUCGGCAAUGGACGAAAGUCUGACCGAGCAACGCCGCGUGAGUGAAGAAGGUUUUCGGAUCGUAAAACUCUGUUGGUAGAGAAGAACGUUGGUGAGAGUGGAAAGCUCAUCAAGUGACGGUAACUACCCAGAAAGGGACGGCUAACUACGUGCCAGCAGCCGCGGUAAUACGUAGGUCCCGAGCGUUGUCCGGAUUUAUUGGGCGUAAAGCGAGCGCAGGUGGUUUAUUAAGUCUGGUGUAAAAGGCAGUGGCUCAACCAUUGUAUGCAUUGGAAACUGGUAGACUUGAGUGCAGGAGAGGAGAGUGGAAUUCCAUGUGUAGCGGUGAAAUGCGUAGAUAUAUGGAGGAACACCGGUGGCGAAAGCGGCUCUCUGGCCUGUAACUGACACUGAGGCUCGAAAGCGUGGGGAGCAAACAGGAUUAGAUACCCUGGUAGUCCACGCCGUAAACGAUGAGUGCUAGAUGUAGGGAGCUAUAAGUUCUCUGUAUCGCAGCUAACUUAGUAAGCAGUCAGCCCCAGGAGUACGCCAACAAGGGUGCAACGCUAGGGUCCUGACCG